AAGUCGUAACAAGGUUUCCGUAGGUGAACCUGCGGAAGGAUCAUUAAUACGUUUUAAACAAACGUUUUAAACUCCAAAAUUUUAAUAGUGGAAAUCUAACUUCCGGAUGCAUUUGUAGGAGUGGAGAUCAGACCUCAAAAAGUCUGGUUCUCCUCUCUUUGAAAGGUGACUUCAUGCACUUUAUUGUGUGUGACACUUCAGAGUAGAGCAGUGAGGUGAAAACUUCGGUUUUGGUUUCUGAAAUACAUCUGUAUCCGGUUAUUUUCUGUUCUACAACCCCUUUUAUUAAACAAUAAACCCCAUGUACAACAACUUGAACUAAACAAAUUUUGUUUUCUCUCUCUGUGAGGAAAUGAAGUAAAAUCUGAACUUAAGAACAACUCUUAACAACGGAUAUCUUGGUUCUC
This 407-nucleotide unclassified non-coding RNA is filed under the name fungal sp. Its description in RNAcentral is "partial internal transcribed spacer region". The stretch from base 1 to 46 matches the Rfam family "Eukaryotic small subunit ribosomal RNA", at positions 1786 to 1831 of the family's 1831-position model. Lineage: Eukaryota; Fungi. The record is from RNAcentral.